CGGCGGCCGUAACUAUAACGGUCCUAAGGUAGCGAAAUUCCUUGUCGGGUAAGUUCCGACCUGCACGAAUGGCGUAAUGAUGGCCAGGCUGUCUCCACCCGAGACUCAGUGAAAUUGAACUCGCUGUGAAGAUGCAGUGUACCCGCGGCAAGACGGAAAGACCCCGUGAACCUUUACUAUAGCUUGACACUGAACAUUGAGCCUUGAUGUGUAGGAUAGGUGGGAGGCUUUGAAGCGUGGACGCCAGUCUGCGUGGAGCCAACCUUGAAAUACCACCCUUUAAUGUUUGAUGUUCUAACGUUGGCCCCUGACCGGGGUUGCGGACAGUGUCUGGUGGGUAGUUUGACUGGGGCGGUCUCCUCCCAAAGCGUAACGGAGGAGCACGAAGGUUAGCUAAUCCUGGUCGGACAUCAGGAGGUUAGUGCAAUGGCAUAAGCUAGCUUGACUGCGAGCGUGACGGCGCGAGCAGGUGCGAAAGCAGGUCAUAGUGAUCCGGUGGUUCUGAAUGGAAGGGCCAUCGCUCAACGGAUAAAAGGUACUCCGGGGAUAACAGGCUGAUACCGCCCAAGAGUUCAUAUCGACGGCGGUGUUUGGCACCUCGAUGUCGGCUCAUCACAUCCUGGGGCUGAAGUAGGUCCCAAGGGUAUGGCUGUUCGCCAUUUAAAGUGGUACGCGAGCUGGGUUUAGAACGUCGUGAGACAGUUCGGUCCCUAUCUGCCGUGGGCGCUGGAGAAUUGAGGGGGGCUGCUCCUAGUACGAGAGGACCGGAGUGGACGCAUCACUGGUGUUCGGGUUGUCAUGCCAAUGGCACUGCCCGGUAGCUAAAUGCGGAAGAGAUAAGUGCUGAAAGCAUCUAAGCACGAAACUUGCCCCGAGAUGAGUUCUCCCUGAGACUUUAAGUCUCCUGAAGGAACGUUAAAGACGAUGACGUUGAUAGGCCGGGUGUGUAAGCGCAGCGAUGCGUUGAGCUAACCGGUACUAAUGAACCGUGAGGCUUAACCUUACAACGCCGAAG
RNAcentral lists this ribosomal RNA (1015 nucleotides) under Klebsiella pneumoniae. RNAcentral describes it as "partial 23S ribosomal RNA". It matches the Rfam family "Bacterial large subunit ribosomal RNA", at positions 1928 to 2925 of the family's 2925-position model. Lineage: Bacteria; Pseudomonadati; Pseudomonadota; Gammaproteobacteria; Enterobacterales; Enterobacteriaceae. The record is from RNAcentral.